GACGAACGCUGGCGGCGUGCUUAACACAUGCAAGUCGAACGGUGAACUCUCCUUCGGGAGGGGGAUCAGUGGCGAACGGGUGAGUAACACGUGACCAACCUGCCCCUUGCUCUGGGAUAACCCCGGGAAACCGGAGCUAAUACCGGAUACGAGACCACGUGGCAUCACAUGGUCUGGAAAGUUUUUCGGCGAGGGAUGGGGUCGCGGCCUAUCAGCUUGUUGGUGGGGUAACGGCCUACCAAGGCGACGACGGGUAGCCGGCCUGAGAGGGCGACCGGCCACACUGGGACUGAGACACGGCCCAGACUCCUACGGGAGGCAGCAGUGGGGAAUAUUGCGCAAUGGGCGAAAGCCUGACGCAGCGACGCCGCGUGAGGGAUGACGGCCUUCGGGUUGUAAACCUCUUUCAGCAGGGAAGAAGCGAAAGUGACGGUACCUGCAGAAGAAGCACCGGCUAACUACGUGCCAGCCGCCGCCGUAACAC
This 484-nucleotide ribosomal RNA is filed under the name uncultured bacterium. RNAcentral describes it as "bacterial SSU rRNA". It matches the Rfam family "Bacterial small subunit ribosomal RNA", at positions 28 to 526 of the family's 1533-position model. The record is from RNAcentral.